This 1009-nucleotide ribosomal RNA is filed under the name uncultured marine bacterium. RNAcentral describes it as "bacterial SSU rRNA". It matches the Rfam family "Bacterial small subunit ribosomal RNA", at positions 356 to 1397 of the family's 1533-position model. The record is from RNAcentral.
GGGGAAUUUUCCGCAAUGGGCGCAAGCCUGACGGAGCGACGCCGCGUGCAGGAUGAAGGUCUUCGGAUUGUAAACUGCUUUUGUCAGUGAAGAAUAUGACGGUAGCUGACGAAUAAGGGUCUGCUAACUACGUGCCAGCAGCCGCGGUCAUACGUGGGACCCAAGCGUUAUCCGGAUUUACUGGGCGUAAAGAGUUGCGUAGGCGGUCGUUUAAGCGAUGUAUUAAAGCCAUUGGCUUAACCAAUGGAAGGUACAUCGAACUGGACGACUUGAGUCUAGAAGAGGUCGCUGGAAUUUCCAGUGGAGGGGUGAAAUCCGUAGAUAUUGGAAGGAACACCGAUGGCGUAAGCAGGCGACUGGUCUAGUACUGACGCUAAGGCACGAAAGCGUGGGGAGCGAACGGGAUUAGAUACCCCGGUAGUCCACGCCGUAAACGAUGGAUGCUAGCUGUCUGGAGUUCAACCCUCUGGGUAGCGCCGCUAACGCCUUAAGCAUCCCGCCUGUGGAGUACGAGCGCAAGCUUAAAACAUAAGGGAAUUGACGGGGACCUGCACAAGCGGUGGAGCGUGUUGUUUAAUUCGAUGAUAAGCGAAGAACCUUACCAGGGCUUGACAUCCUGCCAAGUCUCGGGAAACUGAGAUGUGCCUUCGGGCCGCAGUGACAGGUGCUGCAUGGCCGUCGUCAGCUCGUGUCGUGAGAUGUUGGGUUAAGUCCUUUAACGAGCGCAACCCCUAUACUUAGUUGUAUUUUUCUAAGAAGACUGCCUUGGCAACAGGGAGGAAGGAGGGGACGAUGUCAGGUCAGUAUUGCCCUUACGCCCUGGGCUACAAACACGCUACAAUGGCCGGUACAAAGGGUCGCCAACCCGCGAGGGGGAGCUAAUCCCAUCAAAGCCGGUCCCAGUUCGGAUUGCAGGCUGAAACUCGCCUGCAUGAAGUUGGAAUCGCUAGUAACGGUAAGUCAGCAUAUUACCGUGAAUACGUUCCCAGGUCUUGUACACACCGCCCGU